UUUUCUAAUUUAAGUUUUCACUCAAUCGGGAGUUAGAACUUCAGAGCUCUGAGUUGUUCCUCCGAUGCAACUUGUAAGCCAAGGCAGCACCAGGAGCUGGUGGAGGGGAAGGAAAUCGGAAGGCUGAGAUUUAGUUUGACUCCAAAGACCUGAGACUCCAAGGAACCAAUGAUGCUGAAAGCUUAAAGGGGAAAGAAGGUACUGAUGUCAGCUCAAGAACUGGUAAUGCCAAAGAAUAACCCGAGGAGACAUGAAGACCAUGUACACGGACACCUCAAGCAUGAAAAGAGUCCCAAAUAAAGGAGGACAAAUUCUAUUGCUGGGUAAGAAUAUUGCAACCAUGAACCUUUCAACUCUUUCCAAGUUUCUGGUAAUUUACAGAUUAAAUGUAAGCAUACAUUACCUAGAAGUAAAGUACAUGUGGAGAGCUAAGGAAAUUCACAAAAAAAAAAAAAAAAAAAAAAAAAAAAGAAAU
Molecule: long non-coding RNA, 475 nt
Organism: Peromyscus leucopus (white-footed mouse)
Lineage: Eukaryota; Metazoa; Chordata; Mammalia; Rodentia; Cricetidae
Exons: 3
Source: RefSeq, a predicted model, not a curated record